Molecule: non-coding RNA, 25 nt
Filed under: Rattus norvegicus (Norway rat)
Lineage: Eukaryota; Metazoa; Chordata; Mammalia; Rodentia; Muridae
Source: RNAcentral
UACCUCACCGAUGACGCCCCGGCCA